RNAcentral lists this ribosomal RNA (254 nucleotides) under uncultured bacterium. Its description in RNAcentral is "partial 16S ribosomal RNA". It matches the Rfam family "Bacterial small subunit ribosomal RNA", at positions 524 to 776 of the family's 1533-position model. The record is from RNAcentral.
UACGUAGGGUCCAAGCGUUAUCCGGAAUCACUGGGCGUAAAGCGUGCGUAGGUGGCGCGUUAAGUGAGAUGCGAAAUCCUGUGGCUCAACCAUAUGGACUGUAUCUCAUACUGGCGUGCUUGAGGAUGGCAGAGGCAAGUGGAAUUACGGGUGUAGCAGUGAAAUGCGUAGAGAUCCGUAGGAACACCAAUGGCGAAGGCAGCUUGCUGGGCCACCCCUGACACUGAGGCACGAAAGCGUGGGGAGCGAACAGG